Molecule: transfer RNA, 76 nt
Filed under: Gammaproteobacteria bacterium
Lineage: Bacteria; Pseudomonadati; Pseudomonadota; Gammaproteobacteria
Description: tRNA-Lys
Rfam family: tRNA
About the family: Transfer RNA (tRNA) molecules are approximately 80 nucleotides in length.
Source: RNAcentral
GGGUUGUUAGCUCAGUUGGUAGAGCAGUGGACUCUUAAUCCAUUGGUCGAAGGUUCGAACCCUUCACGACCCACCA